CCUACGGGUGGCUGCAGUGAGGAAUAUUGGUCAAUGGGCGAGAGCCUGAACCAGCCAAGUCGCGUGAGGGAGGAAGGCCCUACGGGUUGUAAACCUCUUUUGCCGGGGGACAAACGGCGGCACGCGUGCCGUCCUGAGGGUACCCGGAGAAAAAACAUCGGCUAACUCCGUGCCAGCAGCCGCGGUAAUACGGAGGAUACGGGCGUUAUCCGGAUUUAUUGGGUUUAAGGGGUGGGUAGGCGGGAGGCCAAGUCAGCGUGCAAAUACGGGGGCUCAACCUGCGUCCGCCGUUGAAACUGGCGUUCUUGAGUGGGCGAGAGGUACGCGGAAUGCGUGGUGUAGCGGUGAAAUGCAUAGAGAUCACGCAGAACCCCGAUUGCGAAGGCAGCGUACCGGCGCCCAACUGACGCUGAAGCACGAAAGCGUGGGUAUCGAACAGGAUUAGAUACCCGUGUAGUC
Molecule: ribosomal RNA, 459 nt
Filed under: uncultured bacterium
Lineage: Bacteria
Description: partial 16S ribosomal RNA
Rfam family: Bacterial small subunit ribosomal RNA
Source: RNAcentral